GGGUGAGUAACGCGUGGGUAACCUGCCCUGUACACACGGAUAACAUACCGAAAGGUAUGCUAAUACGGGAUAACAUAAGAAAUUCGCAUGUUUUUCUUAUCAAAGCUCCGGCGGUACAGGAUGGACCCGCGUCUGAUUAGCUAGUUGGUGAGGUAACGGCUCACCAAGGCGACGAUCAGUAGCCGACCUGAGAGGGUGAUCGGCCACAUUGGAACUGAGACACGGUCCAAACUCCUACGGGAGGCAGCAGUGGGGAAUAUUGCACAAUGGGCGAAAGCCUGAUGCAGCAACGCCGCGUGAGCGAUGAAGGCCUUCGGGUCGUAAAGCUCUGUCCUCAAGGAAGAUAAUGACGGUACUUGAGGAGGAAGCCCCGGCUAACUACGUGCCAGCAGCCGCGGUAAUACGUAGGGGGCUAGCGUUAUCCGGAUUUACUGGGCGUAAAGGGUGCGUAGGCGGUCUUUUAAGUCAGGAGUGAAAGGCUACGGCUCAACCGUAGUAAGCUCUUGAAACUGGAGGACUUGAGUGCAGGAGAGGAGAGUGGAAUUCCUAGUGUAGCGGUGAGAUGCGUAGAUAUUAGGAGGAACACCAGUAGCGAAGGCGGCUCUCUGGACUGUAACUGACGCUGAGGCACGAAAGCGUGGGGAGCAAACAGGAUUAGAUACCCUGGUAGUCCACGCCGUAAACGAUGAGUACUAGCUGUCGGAGGUUA
Molecule: ribosomal RNA, 709 nt
Filed under: uncultured bacterium
Lineage: Bacteria
Description: bacterial SSU rRNA
Rfam family: Bacterial small subunit ribosomal RNA
Source: RNAcentral